AGAGGAGCAGUGGAAUCAUUGGGUAGAAGGGUCCUUUUAUCAAAUUGGCUGGCCCAGCACUGACUCAGCUAAGGAAUGGCCAAGGAGGGGGGAGGUAGCUUGUUGGCCAAUGUCUACAGGACUCUUAACAAAAAUGAUUUUUCAUACAGGUGACACACUCAUGAGUGCACAACAGUGGAUGCUGAGCCUUGAGAGGCAAGUGGUGUGUAACGGGCAAAGUUCUGCCACAUCAAUGUGAGUGCAACUGCAGACGUCUUUUCAAGUUUCUACAUUUUUAACUUUGCAUACCAAGAAGAAGCCUCAUUAACCCUUGAAUUUCUACAAAGUCCCACAGAUUUAAUGGAGAACAGCAGUCGUGAGCAUCUAAACAUUGAUGCAGUAGUACAGGUUUUGGAGGAACAUAUACUAAAGUUUCUCACUGGCUAUAGGAAUUGUGAUGUAGUGAAGCAUCCUGAGCUGGCUUCUCUUUCCAGCAAUUGACUGCCGGCUUUGUCCAUACCCUAGCAGCUCUUGAAGCAAGAAAGUAUCUGUUAUACCUGUGUGCCCACUUAGGAUGGAGUGUGUGAGCACCAAACAAAAAGGGGACUUCCACCUCAAGUACCCAGAGAAGAACUGCAACUUCAGCACAAGAACAGUGUUAAAGAUUUCAAAUGUAGGCCAGCUGCCUGCCACGGUGCUAUUAUUUUGGAUACUCCAUAUCUGAAACCUGGAUUGUGCAGUUCUUCCCAGAACACUUGCAUCCUGCUUUCCUGGGGCACAUGUUCUGCCGAUUUAUGCUGCACGAGGACAGAAAGCUCUUUAAAAAAAAAAAAAAAUGUCGGUGCUGUGGUUUUCCAUGUGGGAACAAAUAUUCACAAUUUCAGGUUAAGGGUACAGAAAGAGGACUUUGGAUCACUGCUUCACAUCACUCAUGAAGGGUUUUUCCCCAUGAAGAGAUGGACUACAUCUGCACAGGCCAAGCACCCAGGUCCUCUCAGACAAUAACGCUAAGGCUCAGAAUGGCAAGAAGUCUCAUUUGGUGACAAAUCUGGAAUGAAUUGGCAGACUGUGAGUUGGAGCAGACACAGAAGUGAAGAGCACACUGAUCACAGUGGAGGCAUGAAAAGUGAAAGCAGUAAAGACUUCUGUAAUGAGCUUUGAGGGACUCCAUAUUGAACUUCUAUGUAUAAUGAUGGACUACUGUCAGCACAUUUCUGUAUGUACUGGAAUCGAUUUGAUAAAUAAGAGCUAAACCAGGAUCCACAGGCGUACUGCAGAGUGUCCAGAAUAGUGCCACCAAAUUGAUGACCUGGGAGCCGAGGAACAAAAUUUUGGUGGCUUAGACCACCAUCUCACUGUUCUGUUACUCGCCCUGCGGCUGAAUUGGUGCUGUUGAUUUCAGCCUCGUACUGACUACAAUGGGACCUGGAAAGAGACUGAAGCCAAAUCAUUAGUAACCAAAUUGUAUAAACACAUUGAUUCAAUUCAGUUUUCAGUUUACCUAAUUGCUAUUACGUUUCUAACGUGGUCCUCCAAUUUGUGUAUUUUCCUGCCCAAUUCUAAAUUAACUAUCGGCCAGAAAGCCUGAAUUGUAUGUGAAGCAGGACACACAACAUAUAAACACGCCCUCAACGGGCAGAGGGCAGAUGCAAUUUGCAUUCAGACGGAUGUUGGCAUUACUCCAGCUGAACUUUACUGACUAAUUCGAUUAGUUAUCGGAUAUUCUUUUCAGACACUGUAAAACUCUUAUGUGUGUGUGUGAGAUGCCAAUUUCAUUCUUCUGCUCACUGCUCAGUCCCACCAGAUGUUCUGUAAAAUAAGGAAUAAGCUCAUUAUUAAAAUGUUUCUAAAUCCCUA
This is a long non-coding RNA of Polypterus senegalus (gray bichir), 1836 nucleotides long. RefSeq lists it as uncharacterized. The transcript has 7 exons. Lineage: Eukaryota; Metazoa; Chordata; Cladistia; Polypteriformes; Polypteridae. The record is from RefSeq and is a predicted model, not a curated record.